GACGAACGCUGGCGGCGUGGAUUAGGCAUGCAAGUCGAACGGUAUCAUCCUUUCGGGGGUGAGAGAGUGGCGAACUGGUGAGUAACACGUAGGUUAUCUACCCUCAAGACGGGGACAACCCAGGGAAACUUGGGCUAAUACCGGAUGUGAGCAACUUUUAGUUGUUUGAAAGGUGGCGUAAGCUGUCGCUUGGGGAUGAGCCCGCGUCCUAUUAGUUAGUUGGUGAGGUAACGGCUCACCUAGGCAAUGAUAGGUAGGCGGCCUUAACGGGUGGUCGCCCACACUGGGAUUGAGAUACGGCCCAGACUCCUACGGGAGGCAGCAGUCGAGAAUAGUCUACAAUGGUCGGAAGACUGAUAGUGCGACGCCGCGUGAACGAUGAAUCCUUCGGGUGUAAGUCUUUAUAUGUGAGCAGUGCUUCUUAUAUUAACAGUAUGGGGAGAGAGAUAUUAGCAUAUGAAUAAGCAACGGCUAACUCCGUGCCAGCAGCCGCGGUAAACUCGUCU
RNAcentral lists this ribosomal RNA (506 nucleotides) under uncultured bacterium. RNAcentral's name for it is "bacterial SSU rRNA". It matches the Rfam family "Bacterial small subunit ribosomal RNA", at positions 28 to 530 of the family's 1533-position model. The record is from RNAcentral.